RNAcentral lists this ribosomal RNA (460 nucleotides) under uncultured bacterium. RNAcentral describes it as "partial 16S ribosomal RNA". It matches the Rfam family "Bacterial small subunit ribosomal RNA", at positions 338 to 795 of the family's 1533-position model. The record is from RNAcentral.
CCUACGGGUGGCAGCAGUGAGGAAUAUUGGUCAAUGGACGAGAGUCUGAACCAGCCAAGUCGCGUGAAGGAUGACUGCCCUAUGGGUUGUAAACUUCUUUUAUGUGGGAAUAAAAUGUUCCACGUGUGGGCUUUUGUAUGUACCAUAUGAGUAAGGAUCGGCUAACUCCGUUCCAGCAGCCGCGGUAAUACGGAGGAUCCGAGCGUUAUCCGGAUUUAUUGGGUUUAAAGGGAGCGUAGGUGGAUUGUUAAGUCAGUUGUGAAAGUUUGGGGCUCAACCGUAAAAUUGCAGUUGAUACUGGCAGUCUUGAGUACAGUAGAGGUGGGCGGAAUUCGUGGUGUAGCGGUGAAAUGCUUAGAUAUCAGGAAGAACACCGAUGGCGAAGGCAGCUCACUGGACGGCAACUGACACUGAGGCUCGAAAGUGUGGGUAUCAAACAGGAUUAGAUACCCGAGUAGUC